UUGCUACUCCCUCCGUCCGAAAAUACUUAUCCUAAAAAUGAAUAAAACAGAUGUAUCUAUAACUAAAAUAAGUCUAGAUACAACCAUUUUGAGGACAAGUAUUUCCUGACGGGGGAAGUACUAU
Non-coding RNA from Triticum aestivum (bread wheat), 124 nucleotides. The record is from Rfam. NCBI's taxonomy places the organism in Eukaryota, Viridiplantae, Streptophyta, Magnoliopsida, Poales, Poaceae.